UACGGAGGGGGCAAGCGUUGUUCGGAAUUAUUGGGCGUAAAGCGUAUGUAGGCGGCUAAGUAAGUCAGGCGUGCAAGCCCGUGGCUCAACCACGGAAUUGCGUUUGAAACUACUUAGCUUGAGUACAGGAGAGGAAAGCGGAAUUCCCAGUGUAGCGGUGAAAUGCAUUGAUAUUGGGAAGAACAUCUGUGGCGAAGGCGGCUUUCUGGUCUGUUACUGACGCUGAGAUACGAAAGCCAGGGUAGCGAACGGG
Molecule: ribosomal RNA, 253 nt
Filed under: uncultured bacterium
Lineage: Bacteria
Description: partial 16S ribosomal RNA
Rfam family: Bacterial small subunit ribosomal RNA
Source: RNAcentral